This 1077-nucleotide long non-coding RNA is filed under the name Heterocephalus glaber (naked mole-rat). RNAcentral describes it as "lncRNA (ENSHGLG00100050240.1)". Lineage: Eukaryota; Metazoa; Chordata; Mammalia; Rodentia; Bathyergidae. The record is from RNAcentral.
GGCCACUCGGGAUGGGUCCCUGGACCCCGCUGGCAGAAUGGAAUUUUCGGAGCUGAUCCUGGUCGGAACAGAAGCUCCUCUGGGGGUCCGGAGGCGCCCCAGCUGUGCUGCACACUAAUUGUCACUGGCUCCCACCCGUGUUGCCAGGGCCCCAGUCAACUCAGGUCCUGUGGCUGCUGCUGCUGCGUAGGGUCAACUCCAUCGAGAAGCCGUGAGAGAUGUGACUGGGGCGUCCCUGGAGUGAGGGAGCAAGCGACUCCAGCGAGGAGAGGGGGAAGGGACAGAGCAGUUGGCGCCCUCCUGCCUGACGUCCAGUCGUGGAACUCUUCCGGUCCCCUGAUGGGGCCCAGGACACUGAGCUCUCGCCCACCUGUCCAUCCCCAGCGUCUCGGGCGCCUUAGGCAACCAUCAAACUGCACUGUAAAAACCCCAGGUGCUUAGGGGCCGAGGAUUUAGUUCAGUGGUUUCGCCGCCUGCUGCGCAAUCGCAAGGACCCCAGUUCGAUCCCCGGUACCAAAAACCAAACCAAAACAAAAAAAGACCCCAGGUGCUGCAGCUGAAUAUAGAGGGCGAGAAAGCGACGCUGGACAUCGCUGGCACCAUCAAGAACAACGCAUGGCGGCUGAGCGAGGUGAACCAGGACUUCAGCGCACCCCAGUUACACUCGUGCUGUGAUCGCGAUUUACUCAGUAGACCACGACGCCCUGGCGCUUCCUUCCGCCAGGGAGGCCGUUUCCCAGCGUCCAGCAGAACCCUGAGCCCACCCCCUCCCUAGGAGACCUUCAAGACUCUAUUACCCGGCCAGACCAAUUCACCUCGCCUUUGCUCCAACACCUGCUCCACUCUCGCUCCGGCCUCUGGGCAAUCCAACCACCGUUGGCCCAAUCACUCUCCCCCUCUCCUCGCCUGUCAGUCUCAACCUUGCUCCGCCCAGCCGCUGGCUCCUGGAAGCUUAAUCACUUCUUUGUCCAUCCUGAGACUGAACUUGAGUCCUUGAGUCCCUCCCACACUCUGCUGGAAGCCUCUGGAGUUCCAUCCUUAAGGUCCCUGCCAGCUCUGCCAGCUCUGCCAGCUCCG